UUUCUGCGGAGGUGAUGGAAUUGAUCUUGCCAAUCCAUGGUCUGCCCAGGAUGCCGUUUUAUGGUGAGACCUCAUUAAUGACCAUGAAUGUUUGCGAGCUGAUUACAGGUGGGGAGUAGACGUCAAGGUCUAUCGUGCCCACGAUAACCAUUGUUGCACCAUUAAAGCCAGUCAGCAAUCUGGCUAACUUGUUGAUCUUUAUCUCCAAGCCCAUCUGUUGGAUGACCGCCAGUUGUAGGAUAUUGG
Molecule: long non-coding RNA, 246 nt
Filed under: Prunus persica (peach)
Lineage: Eukaryota; Viridiplantae; Streptophyta; Magnoliopsida; Rosales; Rosaceae
Description: long non-coding RNA (PPER_LNC005325)
Source: RNAcentral